GUCUAUGGCCAUGCCACCCUGAACCAGCCUGAUUCCAUCUGAUCUUGGAAGCUAAGCAGGGUCAGGCCUGGUUAGUACUUGGAUGGGAGACCACCUAGGAAGACCAGGUGCUGUAGGCG
Molecule: ribosomal RNA, 119 nt
Filed under: Pteropus alecto (black flying fox)
Lineage: Eukaryota; Metazoa; Chordata; Mammalia; Chiroptera; Pteropodidae
Source: RNAcentral